GAUGAACGCUAGCGGCAGGCCUAAUACAUGCAAGUCGAACGAAGUGGCGCACGGGUGCGUAACGCGUGAGCAACCUACCUCUGUCAGGGGGAUAGCCCGGCGAAAGUCGGAUUAACACCGCCUGGACAGAGAUGGGCUCGCGUGACAUUAGCUAGUUGGAGAGGUAACGGCUCACCAAGGCAACGAUGUCUAGGGGCUCUGAGAGGAGAGUCCCCCGCACUGGUACUGAGACACGGACCAGACUCGUACGGGAGGCAGCAGAAAGGAAUAUUGGUGAAUGGAGGGAGCUCUGAACCAGCCAUGCCGCGUGCAGGAUGACUGGCUAUGGGUGGUAAACUGCUUUUGGCGGGGAAUAUGUACCCAAAGAAUAAGGAUCGGCUAACUCCGUGCCAGCAGCCGCGGUAAUUC
This 408-nucleotide ribosomal RNA is filed under the name uncultured bacterium. RNAcentral describes it as "partial 16S ribosomal RNA". It matches the Rfam family "Bacterial small subunit ribosomal RNA", at positions 28 to 526 of the family's 1533-position model. The record is from RNAcentral.